CACUCCUACGGGAGGCAGCAGUGGGGAAUAUUGGACAAUGGGCGCAAGCCUGAUCCAGCCAUGCCGCGUGAGUGAUGAAGGCCCUAGGGUUGUAAAGCUCUUUCACCGGUGAAGAUAAUGACGGUAACCGGAGAAGAAGCCCCGGCUAACUUCGUGCCAGCAGCCGCGGUAAUACGAAGGGGGCUAGCGUUGUUCGGAUUUACUGGGCGUAAAGCGCACGUAGGCGGACUAUUAAGUCAGGGGUGAAAUCCCGGGGCUCAACCCCGGAACUGCCUUUGAUACUGGUAGUCUUGAGUUCGAGAGAGGUGAGUGGAAUUCCGAGUGUAGAGGUGAAAUUCGUAGAUAUUCGGAGGAACACCAGUGGCGAAGGCGGCUCACUGGCUCGAUACUGACGCUGAGGUGCGAAAGCGUGGGGAGCAAACAGGAUUGGAUACCCCUGUAGUCCCAUGAU
RNAcentral lists this ribosomal RNA (451 nucleotides) under uncultured organism. RNAcentral's name for it is "partial 16S ribosomal RNA". It matches the Rfam family "Bacterial small subunit ribosomal RNA", at positions 334 to 801 of the family's 1533-position model. The record is from RNAcentral.